GCUCGAUAGUAAUCAAGCCCUCUUCCUAGUGGUGAGCAGAGACAGCUUGCACUACUUCCUGAAGAGUCCAACUGAAUUAUAUUGGGUAACUUUCAUUCACCAGAGGCAUCAAGUUCUCAAUUUAUUAUACAUUGUAACACAAUUUCCAAUGACCUACUUUAGUGGAAAUCAGGGAUUGUAAACGCACCAAUCAGCAUCCUGUCAAAACGGACCAAUCAGCUCUUUGUAAAAUGGACCAAUCGGCUCUCUGUAAAAUGGACCAAUCAGCAGGAUGUGGGUGGGGCCAGACAAGAGAAUAAAAGCAGGCUGCCCAGCCAGCAGUGGCAACCCGCUGGGGUCCCCUUUGAUCCUGUGGAGGUUUUGUUCUUUCACUCAUUGUAAUAAAUCUUGCUGCUGCUC
Molecule: long non-coding RNA, 399 nt
Filed under: Homo sapiens (human)
Lineage: Eukaryota; Metazoa; Chordata; Mammalia; Primates; Hominidae
Description: non-protein coding lnc-IVNS1ABP-1:5
Source: RNAcentral